AAGUCGUAACAAGGUCUCCGUUGGUGAACCAGCGGAGGGAUCAUUACAGAGUUGCAAAACUCCCACACCCUUUGUGAACGCACUGAAACUACUGCUUCGGCGGGCAGCUCUUCAGGGGUAGCCCGCCGGAGAAGCACUAAACUCUUGUAUUUUUGGCUUCUCUGAGUGAUUAUACAAUGAAUCAAAACUUUCAACAACGGAUCUCUUGGUUCUG
Molecule: unclassified non-coding RNA, 214 nt
Filed under: Podospora communis
Lineage: Eukaryota; Fungi; Ascomycota; Sordariomycetes; Sordariales; Podosporaceae
Also listed under: 3 other names
Description: partial internal transcribed spacer region
Rfam family: Eukaryotic small subunit ribosomal RNA (bases 1-46)
Source: RNAcentral